CCCUACGGGACGCAGCAGUGAGGAAUAUUGGACAAUGGGCGCAAGCCUGAUCCAGCCAUGCCGCGUGCAGGAUGACGGUCCUAUGGAUUGUAAACUGCUUUUGCACAGGAAGAAACACUCCCUCGUGAGGGAGCUUGACGGUACUGUGAGAAUAAGGAUCGGCUAACUCCGUGCCAGCAGCCGCGGUAAUACGGAGGAUCCAAGCGUUAUCCGGAAUCAUUGGGUUUAAAGGGUCCGUAGGCGGUUUAGUAAGUCAGUGGUGAAAGCCCAUCGCUCAACGGUGGAACGGCCAUUGAUACUGCUAGACUUGAAUUAUAAGGAAGUAACUAGAAUAUGUAGUGUAGCGGUGAAAUGCUUAGAGAUUACAUGGAAUACCAAUUGCGAAGGCAGGUUACUACUUAUGGAUUGACGCUGAUGGACGAAAGCGUGGGUAGCGAACAGGAUUAGAUACCCGUGUAGUCC
This 462-nucleotide ribosomal RNA is filed under the name uncultured bacterium. RNAcentral's name for it is "bacterial SSU rRNA". It matches the Rfam family "Bacterial small subunit ribosomal RNA", at positions 337 to 796 of the family's 1533-position model. The record is from RNAcentral.